GGCUUUUUUUGCCGCGGAGAUCGACCGCCCACAGCGUUGAUCGUGGAGUUCGUCGCCGCUUCUCGCGACGAACACGGAGUCGAUCCGAUCUGCGCGGCCCUACGCGACACGGCCGCCCAGAUCGCUCCG
Molecule: regulatory RNA element, 129 nt
Organism: Gordonia bronchialis DSM 43247
Lineage: Bacteria; Bacillati; Actinomycetota; Actinomycetes; Mycobacteriales; Gordoniaceae
Rfam family: ALIL pseudoknot
Source: Rfam